This 175-nucleotide microRNA precursor is filed under the name Setaria italica (foxtail millet). RNAcentral's name for it is "MIR2118 microRNA precursor family". It matches the Rfam family "MIR2118 microRNA precursor family". RNAcentral also lists the same sequence under 1 other name. Lineage: Eukaryota; Viridiplantae; Streptophyta; Magnoliopsida; Poales; Poaceae. The record is from Rfam by way of RNAcentral.
GCCGGGAAGAGGAAGAAAGAGAGGGUGUAAGAGCAGUGGGAAUGGGAACAUGGAGGAAACCUAACCUGUUUGUUUUCUCCUCCAGCAACAGAGGUGGAAGCUAAUCUUGGUUCAGUGUUUCCCAAUGCCUCCCAUUCCUAUCGUUCUUACACGCUCCUUCCUUUUCCCUUUGGCU